RNAcentral lists this ribosomal RNA (468 nucleotides) under uncultured bacterium. Its description in RNAcentral is "partial 16S ribosomal RNA". It matches the Rfam family "Bacterial small subunit ribosomal RNA", at positions 28 to 507 of the family's 1533-position model. The record is from RNAcentral.
GACGAACGCUGGCGGCGUGCUUAACACAUGCAAGUCGAAUGGAAAGGCCCUGCUUUUGUGGGGUGCUCGAGUGGCGAACGGGUGAGUAACACGUGAGUAACCUGCCCUUGACUUUGGGAUAACUUCAGGAAACUGGGGCUAAUACCGUAUAGGAGCUCCUGCUGCAUGGUGGGGGUUGGAAAGUUUCGGCGGUUGGGGAUGGACUCGCGGCUUAUCAGCUUGUUGGUGGGGUAGUGGCUUACCAAGGCUUUGACGGGUAGCCGGCCUGAGAGGGUGACCGGCCACAUUGGGACUGAGAUACGGCCCAGACUCCUACGGGAGGCAGCAGGGGGGAAUAUUGCACAAUGGGCGGAAGCCUGAUGCAGCAACGCCGCGUGCGGGAUGACGGCCUUCGGGUUGUAAACCGCUUUCGCCUGUGACGAAGCGUGAGUGACGGUAAUGGGUAAAGAAGCACCGGCUAACUACGUG